ACGGGGGUUGCAAGCGUUGUCCGGAAUUACUAGGCGUAAAGGGCAGGUAGGCGGAUUUAUAAGUUUAAUGUUUAAGGCAACGGCUCACCCGUUGUACGGCAUUAGAUACUGUAGAUCUGGAAUACGGUUGGGGAAGACAGAAUUCCUGGUGUAGCGGUGGAAUGCUCAUAGAUCAGGAGGAAUACCGAAGGCGAAGGCACCCAUCUAAGACGUUCUUGACGCUAAACUGCGAAGGUGUGGGUAUCAAACUG
RNAcentral lists this ribosomal RNA (251 nucleotides) under uncultured prokaryote. RNAcentral describes it as "partial 16S rRNA". It matches the Rfam family "Bacterial small subunit ribosomal RNA", at positions 525 to 775 of the family's 1533-position model. The record is from RNAcentral.